UAAGCAUAUCAAUAAGCGGAGGAAAAGAAACCAACAGGGAUUGCCCCAGUAACGGCGAGUGAAGCGGCAAUAGCUCAAAUUUGAAAUCUGGCUCUUUCAGGGUCCGAGUUGUAAUUUGCAGAGGGCGCUUUGGCGUUGGCAGCGGUCCAAGUUCCUUGGAACAGGACGUCACAGAGGGUGAGAAUCCCGUACGUGGUCGCUAUCCUUCGCCGUGUAAAGCCCCUUCGACGAGUCGAGUUGUUUGGGAAUGCAGCUCUAAAUGGGAGGUAAAUUUCUUCUAAAGCUAAAUACUGGCCAGAGACCGAUAGCGCACAAGUAGAGUGAUCGAAAGAUGAAAAGCACUUUGGAAAGAGAGUCAAAUAGCACGUGAAAUUGUUGAAAGGGAAGCGCUUGUAGCCAGACUUGCCUGUAGUUGCUUAUCUAGACUUUUGUCUGGUGCACUCUUCUAUGGGCAGGCCAGCAUCAGUUUGGGCGGUUGGAUAAAGGUCUCUGUCAUGUACCUCUUUUCGGAGAGGCCUUAUAGGGGAGACGACAUACAACCAGCCUGGACUGAGGUCCGCGCAUCUGCUAGGAUGCUGGCGUAAUGGCUAUAAGCGGCCCGUCUUGAAACACGGACCAAGGAGUCUAACAUCUAUGCGAGUGUUUGGGUGUCAAGCCCAUACGCGUAAUGAAAGUGAACGGAGGUAAGAACCUUCGGGUGCAUUAUCGACCGAUCCUGAUGUCUUCGGAAGGAUUUGAGUAAGAGCAUGGCUGUUGGGACCCGAAAGAUGGUGAACUAUGCUUGAAUAGGGUGAAGCCAGAGGAAACUCUGGUGGAGGCUCGCAGCGGUUCUGACGUGCAAAUCGAUCGUCAAAUUUGGGCAUAGGGGCGAAAGACUAAUCGAACUAUCUAGUAGCUGGUUCCUGCCG
Molecule: ribosomal RNA, 908 nt
Filed under: Leptosphaeria robusta
Lineage: Eukaryota; Fungi; Ascomycota; Dothideomycetes; Pleosporales; Leptosphaeriaceae
Description: LSU rRNA
Rfam family: Eukaryotic large subunit ribosomal RNA
Source: RNAcentral